RNAcentral lists this unclassified non-coding RNA (332 nucleotides) under soil metagenome. Its description in RNAcentral is "partial contains 5.8S ribosomal RNA, internal transcribed spacer 2, and large subunit ribosomal RNA". The stretch from base 1 to 120 matches the Rfam family "5.8S ribosomal RNA", at positions 35 to 154 of the family's 154-position model. The record is from RNAcentral.
GAUGAAGAACGUAGCGAAAUGGGAUAAGUAGUGUGAAUUGCAGAAUUCAGUGAAUCAUCGAAUCUUUGAACGCACAUUGCGCCCUUUGGUAUCCCUUAGGGCAUGCCUGUUCGAGCGUCAUUUAAACCUUCAAGCUAAGCUUGGUGUUGGGUGACUGUCCGCUUCACGGCGGACUCGCCUCAAAAUUAUUGGCGGCCGGUACAUUGGCUUCGAGCGCAGCAGAAACGCGAACUCGGGCCCGUCGUAUUGGCUCCCAGAAGCUAUCUUCACAAUUUUGACCUCGGAUCAGGAAGGGAUACCCGCUGAACUUAAGCAUAUCAAUAAGCGGAGGA